This 67-nucleotide transfer RNA is filed under the name Paphnutius ruficeps. RNAcentral's name for it is "tRNA-Ile". Lineage: Eukaryota; Metazoa; Arthropoda; Insecta; Hemiptera; Cercopidae. The record is from RNAcentral.
AAUAAGGUGCCUGAAUUUAAAGGAUUAUUUUGAUGUAAUAGAUUAUGUGAUUAAAUCACUCUUGUUA